This is an RNA transcript of Vitis vinifera (wine grape), 3644 nucleotides long. It is a transcript of the gene named recQ-mediated genome instability protein 1, with no coding region annotated. The transcript has 9 exons. The record is from RefSeq and is a predicted model, not a curated record. Lineage: Eukaryota; Viridiplantae; Streptophyta; Magnoliopsida; Vitales; Vitaceae.
GAGCAUGGAGAGAUGGGGGAGAAUAUUCCCUGGUUUUCUUUUGUGUUGUCUUCUUUAUUAAAAUAUGCAUUCCAAUAGAUGUUGGUUAGCAUUUUUGGAAAAGCACAUUCCGAGCUUUUGGUUAUUGUUCAUCAUCAGUGACAUUAUGUGGAAGUUCUUUAGACGCUUUAUCCUUUGUUGGUUCUUUGAAAUUUUUUGGGGAAGAUGAUAAGAAAAAAUAAAAUCAGAGAAAAAAUGGGAUCAUUUCAUGGGUCCAGUUACAAAUAUUGGCCCAAUAACCAUGUCAUGGGGCCCAAAAGACGGAACCAUCACGAGCCGAGCUGGAGAUGAUCUAGUGGGGCGCGAGCUGCAUAUUCGGUAUUACUAUUCCCUCGUCCAAACUUCAAAACAGAUGUUGAGAAAACUGGAGGGAAAAUCCCAACGCUCCUGAGAAAAAGGAAAAGGAAAAAAAAUGCAAAUGCUCAGAAGGCGUCUGAGGUUAAUCUCUUCUUCAGAUGAAGAAGAAGAAGAAGAACAGCAGCAAGCACCUGCUGCGAGUCACGAAGCUGUUACUCCAGUCUCUGCUAACCCUAACCCUAACACCUCUGAGCCUCUCCCAGUUGACAUCUCCGAUGAUGAUUUCGUCGACGUCUCCGAAAAUUUCUCGACACCGUCUCCCCCACCUGCUCAAACUUCCGGCCAGUCCUUCCAGUCAUCGUCCUUCGAACCGCCUAGUUCCGGCUCUAUCUCCGGCGAAAGCUCCAAUCCGAUCGGCGACUUUCUUCGGGGGCUUGGGCUGUGUUUGCGGAGAGAAUGGUUGGAUUCUUGCAUUCGCGGUCUCGAAAGCUCUGUUCCUGGCUUUGCGAGUUUGGAUGUGGCUGGAAAAGCGAAGCUCUGUUUCGAGCAGUUUCUGUGUUCUGACAUGAAUUACUCUGGUGCCGGUGUUCUUCCCCAAAAUGUUGAUUCGAUGCAUCUUGUUGAUCUCGCAGGGCCAUUUGUGUUGCAGGUAGAUGAGAUAGUUAAUAUCAGUGCUCCUCUUCGAGGCAGGUAUCAAAAUGCAGCUUCUGGUAUUAAAAGGUGCCUCAAAUUGUCCAUGACCGAUGGUAUUCAGCGUGUGUUUGGCAUGGAGUACAGGCCUAUCAAAGAUAUUGAAGUUUUGGCUCCUGCUGGAUUGAAGAUUGCCAUCUGUAAUGUAAAUAUACGACAUGGACUUUUCAUGUUGGUGCCUGAGGUUUUUGAGAUUCUAGGAGGAUCGGUUGAGGAGUUGGAAGCAGCACGACAAAGGCUGGUUCAUGAAGUAAAUAAACCACCUAGAGGGAAAAGAACAAAGAAUGGUGUCGUUCCUCCUUUAGCAACUAGAGCUACUCUUGCAGCAUGGCCAUCAAGUGGUGUUGGUGUUUUUGGGCGCACAAAUAGUUCCACAUCCCAAGGUGCUACUCCAUUUCAGGCGCAUGAUCAUGGUGCUACUUCAGUUGCUCCUGGCAUUGGUGUCAAUGAAAGGUCUACAGAAGAGUUCAAUGUUGCUGUUAGGAGGGAAAAUGCUGUGCCUAAUCCAUCAUCUAACAAUGUUAUGGUUGUUGAAGAGGUCGAUAUGGUUACUGAUUCCAUUGCUUCAGCGGCAGUCAGCAAUGAUACUGGUGAAAGGAUGAGGGAAGAGCAUACCGUUCCUGUUUGCAGGGACAAUGCUGUGCCUAACCUGUCCUCUAAUGCUGUUUCAGAUGCUGCUGAGGUCCAUAUGGUUGCUGUUCCCAUAACUGGGGAAAAUGAUGUACCUAACUCAUCCCAUAAUGCUGUUUCUGAUGUGGAGGAGAUCCCUAUGGUUGAUGAGGCUGACCACCCACUGAUACUAACUGGAGAGAGAGAGAUCCCUUUCACUUACUUAGCUAGUUUGUCGGCCAAGUGGGCUGGAAGGAAGGAGAAAGCACCUUUUGUUCAGGGAAAAAUUAAGUGCUUCUUGACUGGUGUAAAGGGAUUCCAAUAUAAGCAAAGGACUACAUUUGAUCUUCGGGUUUAUGUUGAUGAUGGUAGCCUCAUCUCUGAGAUCCUUAUUGAUCACAAUGUUGUACAGCAAGGAAUAGGUUAUUCUCCUAAGGAGGUCACUGCUGCUCUUGCUUCUUCAGACGUGAAAAUAGUUAGUGGCAUGAAGGACACCCUGAAACAGUUCCAAAUUUUCUUAGCGAAUUUUGAGGGUACAAUGGUUGUAGAGAUAAAUGAAACCUCCCCUCUUCCAAUUGCCCUUGAGAUGGUGCAGGGCUGUCCAGCAUCUGAUGCAUGGUUGCUUCUGAGAAGACUGAAGUCCUUCACUUCUAUUCAAGCACCACGGAAUUCCCCCUUGGAGCCCAUUGAUCUAUCCCCUUGAUGAACUCAAUCCAUGCAUUUGAGUAACAGGAUUUUUCUUUGGGAUGACUCUUGAGAUGCAUAGUUCAUAACCCAGUUCCGAAAACAAGCUGCAAGGGCAUUGAACUUGUUUGAUGAAAAAUGCUCACUAGAUUGCCUGGUUGCUUAAGCUAUUGUCUCGGUUGAUUCUUUGCAUAUAUAAACACUGCUACGAGAGGGUGAAUUUUGAAGGGAGCUUGCAUGUCAUGACAUUCCUUUAAUUUUCUUGGAGUAUUUAUUGAUUGGUUCUAGUCGAAAUUCAGGUCCAAAAACAAUUGGUAGACUCAUUCAAAUUUUGAGAUCAAUUCGGAGCAGUUCACCUAAUGCAGUUUGGUUGGCAUAUGGAGGAGAACAAGACACAUUGUUUACUCUGAAAAUGUGCCCUUGAGGCCUAGCUCAAACAGUAAAGAGAUGGGGAGCAUUUGUGGGAGAUUCCAGGUUCAAGUCGCAAUGGGGGCAAAAUUUACCUAUUAAAAAAAAGAAAUUGUUUACUCUGAAAAUGUGAAUCAAUCAGAUAUCAGUGGGGAGACCAUCCAUGAGAUUGCCAAGGAGAAGAAAAGACAAUUUUCUUGUCAUCAGCUAAAUAUAGCUGCACCAACCAGGGAGCGCUAUCAAAGGCCCUUUUUUUGUCAAUCUACUAAAGUAAUCUCAACACCCUCAUUUGUUAACCAGAAACCCACGAGCCCCAGAGAUGUCCAGGAUCUUCUUGCUGAGUGUUUCCGAUUCCCCUGGCCUAGCAAGAUAGAACAACCGGAAACACCACUCGAUCACCUCAGGGCACAACACCUUCCACAAGUAGGUGACCCUGAACCACGAUGGCUCCGUCAGGUAUUUCUCUCCCCUGCAAGCGCUCUUUACAAUUGCCUUGGCACAUGCUUCUGCCCUGCCAACUGGGAUUAUGCUCACUUGAGCCUAUUAAAGAAAUCAUCUUUCAGUUAGUAUCAAAUAGGUUUGAUGCAUGGGCAAGCAGAUGCAAAUGCAGUAAGGUUAGGCGGAAGAGUGAUUACAUCUCUCAUGUCUUGAUCCACUUCUAUUUGGUCUUCAUUCUUUAGGAAUUCUCCUUGAGUCAUUUCAGAUUCUAUAAACCCAGGAGUCACAACUGUUAUUCCUCCGAUGUCGGACCCGAGUUCAAUCCUCAAUGUGUCGUAGAAGCUUAUUAAUGCUGCUUUGCUGGCCUGCAGUCAACAUCCAUCCUAGUAUUAUAAGAACUCAUCUCUAACCAUCCAUGAUGAAAAUAUUAGUUUUAUUCUUGAUGGAAAUUCUUAUUUAUUUAUUUUUUUUUACAAAAA